CAGUAGCCGCGGUAAUACAGAGGGUGCAAGCGUUAAUCGGAAUUACUGGGCGUAAAGCGCGCGUAGGUGGUUUGUUAAGUUGGAUGUGAAAUCCCCGGGCUCAACCUGGGAACUGCAUCCAAAACUGGCAAGCUAGAGUAUGGUAGAGGGUGGUGGAAUUUCCUGUGUAGCGGUGAAAUGCGUAGAUAUAGGAAGGAACACCAGUGGCGAAGGCGACCACCUGGACUGAUACUGACACUGAGGUGCGAAAGCGUGGGGAGCAAACAGGAUUAGAUACCCCGGUAGUCCCUGUCUCUUAUAA
Molecule: ribosomal RNA, 301 nt
Filed under: uncultured bacterium
Lineage: Bacteria
Description: partial 16S ribosomal RNA
Rfam family: Bacterial small subunit ribosomal RNA
Source: RNAcentral